RNAcentral lists this ribosomal RNA (446 nucleotides) under uncultured bacterium. RNAcentral describes it as "bacterial SSU rRNA". It matches the Rfam family "Bacterial small subunit ribosomal RNA", at positions 329 to 792 of the family's 1533-position model. The record is from RNAcentral.
UUCCAGACUCCUACGGGAGGCAGCAGUGGGGAAUAUUGCACAAUGGGGGAAACCCUGAUGCAGCGACGCCGCGUGAGUGAAGAAGUAUUUCGGUAUGUAAAGCUCUAUCAGCAGGGAAGAAAAUGACGGUACCUGACUAAGAAGCCCCGGCUAACUACGUGCCAGCAGCCGCGGUAAUACGUAGGGGGCAAGCGUUAUCCGGAUUUACUGGGUGUAAAGGGAGCGUAGACGGCUGUGCAAGCCAGAUGUGAAAGCCCGGGGCUCAACCCCGGGACUGCAUUUGGAACUGUGUAGCUGGAGUGUCGGAGAGGCAGGCGGAAUUCCUAGUGUAGCGGUGAAAUGCGUAGAUAUUAGGAGGAACACCAGUGGCGAAGGCGGCCUGCUGGACGAUGACAGACGUUGAGGCUCGAAAGCGUGGGGAGCAAACAGGAUUAGAUCCCCUUGUA